UACGAAGGGGGCUAGCGUUGCUCGGAAUCAUUGGGCGUAAAGAGCGUGUAGGCGGCCAGAUAGGUCCGUUGUGAAAACUGGAGGCUUAACCUCCAGCUGUCGAUGGAAACCAUCUGGCUAGAGUCCGGAAGAGGAGAGUGGAAUUCCUGGUGUAGCGGUGAAAUGCGCAGAUAUCAGGAAGAACACCCGUGGCGAAGGCGGCUCUCUGGGACGGUACUGACGCUGAGACGCGAAAGCGUGGGGAGCGAACAGG
This 253-nucleotide ribosomal RNA is filed under the name uncultured bacterium. Its description in RNAcentral is "partial 16S ribosomal RNA". It matches the Rfam family "Bacterial small subunit ribosomal RNA", at positions 524 to 776 of the family's 1533-position model. The record is from RNAcentral.